This 866-nucleotide ribosomal RNA is filed under the name uncultured eukaryote. Its description in RNAcentral is "SSU rRNA". It matches the Rfam family "Eukaryotic small subunit ribosomal RNA", at positions 571 to 1464 of the family's 1831-position model. The record is from RNAcentral.
CAGCCGCGGUAAUUCCAGCUCCAAUAGCGUAUAUUAAAGUUGUUGCAGUUAGAACGCUCGUAGUCGGAUUUCGGGGCGGGCCUGCCGGUCUGCCGUUGGGUAUGCACUGGUGGGCGCGUCCUUCCUUCCGGAGACCGUGGCUACUCUUAACUGAGCGGUUGCGGGAGACGGAUCGUUUACUUUGAAAAAAUCAGAGUGUUUCAAGCAGACUCGCGUCUUUGCAUGGAUUAGCAUGGGAUAAUGAAAUAGGACUUUGGUGCUAUUUUGUUGGUUUCGAACACCGAAGUAAUGAUUAAAAGGGACAGUCAGGGGCACUCGUAUUCCGUCGAGAGAGGUGAAAUUCUCAGACCAACGGAAGACGAACUACUGCGAAAGCAUUUGCCAGGGAUGUUUUCACUGAUCAAGAACGAAAGUUAGGGGAUCGAAGACGAUCAGAUACCGUCGUAGUCUUAACCAUAAACAAUGCCGACUAGGGAUUGGAGGAUGUUCAUUAUUGACUCCUUCAGCACCUUACGGGAAACUAAAGUCUUUGGGUUCCGGGGGGAGUAUGGUCGCAAGGCUGAAACUUAAAGGAAUUGACGGAAGGGCACCACCAGGAGUGGAGCCUGCGGCUUAAUUUGACUCAACACGGGGAAACUUACCAGGUCCAGACAUUGUGAGGAUUGACAGAUUGAGAGCUCUUUCUUGAUUCGAUGGGUGGUGGUGCAUGGCCGUUCUUAGUUGGUGGAGUGAUUUGUCUGGUUAAUUCCGUUAACGAACGAGACCGUUGCCUAUUAAAUAGUGACGCGAACACUUCGUUCGCGGCGCACUUCUUAGAGGGACAACUUGUUUUCAACAAGUGGAAGUUAGCGGCAAUAACAGGUCUG